RNAcentral lists this ribosomal RNA (466 nucleotides) under uncultured Cellulomonas sp. Its description in RNAcentral is "bacterial SSU rRNA". It matches the Rfam family "Bacterial small subunit ribosomal RNA", at positions 910 to 1382 of the family's 1533-position model. Lineage: Bacteria; Bacillati; Actinomycetota; Actinomycetes; Micrococcales; Cellulomonadaceae. The record is from RNAcentral.
UUGACGGGGCCCGCACAAGCGGUGGAGCAUGUGGUUAAUCGAUGCACGCGAAGAACCUUACAAGGCUUGACAUACACCGGUAACGCCCAGAGAUGGGUGCCCCUUUGUGGUCGGUGGACAGGUGGUGCAUGGUUGUCGUCAGCUCGUGUCGUGAGAUGUUGGGUUAAGUCCCGCAACGAGCGCAACCCUCGUCCUAUGUUGCCAGCGGGUCAUGCCGGGGACUCAUGGGAGACUGCCGGGGUCAACUCGGAGGAAGUGGGGAUGACGUCAAAUCAUCAUGCCCCUUAUGUCUUGGGCUUCACGCAUGCUACAAUGGCCGGUACAAAGGGCUGCGAUACCGCGAGGUGGAGCGAAUCCCAGAAAGCCGGUCUCAGUUCGGAUUGGGGUCUGCAACUCGACCCCAUGAAGUCGGAGUCGCUAGUAAUCGCAGAUCAGCAACGCUGCGGUGAAUACGUUCCCGGGCCUU